This 253-nucleotide ribosomal RNA is filed under the name uncultured bacterium. RNAcentral's name for it is "partial 16S ribosomal RNA". It matches the Rfam family "Bacterial small subunit ribosomal RNA", at positions 524 to 776 of the family's 1533-position model. The record is from RNAcentral.
UACGUAGGGUGCAAGCGUUGUCCGGAAUUAUUGGGCGUAAAGAGCUCGUAGGCGGUUUGUUGCGUCGGCUGUGAAAUCCCGAGGCUCAACCUCGGGUCUGCAGUCGAUACGAGCAAACUAGAGUGUUGCAGGGGAGACUGGAAUUCCUGGUGUAGCGGUGAAAUGCGCAGAUAUCAGGAGGAACACCGGUGGCGAAGGCGGGUCUCUGGACCAUAACUGACGCUGAGGCACGAAAGCUAGGGGAGCAAACAGG